UGGCUCAGGAUGAACGCUAGCGGCAGGCCUAACACAUGCAAGUCGAGGGGCAGCACGUCUUCGGAUGGUGGCGACCGGCGCACGGGUGCGUAACGCGUAUGCAACCUACCUCUUACAGUGGGAUAGCCCAGAGAAAUUUGGAUUAAUACCGCAUAGUAUACUUGAACAGCAUUGUUUAAGUAUUAAACAUUUAUGGGUAAGAGAUGGGCAUGCGUUCUAUUAGUUAGUUGGAGUGGUAACGGCACCCCAAGACAGCGAUAGAUAGGGGCCCUGAGAGGGGGAUCCCCCACACUGGUACUGAGACACGGACCAGACUCCUACGGGAGGCAGCAGUGAGGAAUAUUGGACAAUGGGCG
Molecule: ribosomal RNA, 356 nt
Filed under: Bacteroidetes bacterium R2A103
Lineage: Bacteria; Pseudomonadati; Bacteroidota
Description: bacterial SSU rRNA
Rfam family: Bacterial small subunit ribosomal RNA
Source: RNAcentral